GAAUCAAAAAUGCAUUAGGCAUAUAACAUAUUUAUCUACUCAACUUCGUCUGUGGCGAAGAUCAGUCCGCUGUCAGUCCACCAGUACAGCGCAUUCACCUUUGAUGUUUUCCGGAUUCAGCUAAAAUUCACAAUUUCAUUCACUAUGAGAGCCUGAUGCGAGAAGUCCCAUCUGUUAAGUAAGAUGACUCAUAUGCUACAGUUUAUCACAA
Molecule: unclassified non-coding RNA, 211 nt
Filed under: Hevea brasiliensis (rubber tree)
Lineage: Eukaryota; Viridiplantae; Streptophyta; Magnoliopsida; Malpighiales; Euphorbiaceae
Source: RNAcentral